Molecule: long non-coding RNA, 524 nt
Organism: Photinus pyralis (common eastern firefly)
Lineage: Eukaryota; Metazoa; Arthropoda; Insecta; Coleoptera; Lampyridae
Exons: 2
Source: RefSeq, a predicted model, not a curated record
UUCAAGCUUCCGUGCGUAAUUCGCAUACUUACUUGUAAAUGAGUAUUUUGAAUAAGUAUUUAGGCUUCUUUUUGCUUUUGGUAGGUCUGAAACGACUCGUGAUCUUCGCUCACUGUAAUGGGAUUGCCGUACAUUGUAAUUGUUCAAUUAUUUUUAAUGGGCGUAAAAGUCAAAUUGGCCAACAUCUAUGAAACAUUCUUAAGGAAAGGUUACACGAUGGGUUAUAUGGAGCAAAAUUUUGAAAUCUUCAUUAUCAGAAACGGCUCGCCCAUGCAUAGUAAAUUAGUAGAUCAUCGUACCUUGCUGGAACCGCAUUAGAUCUGUUGUUUUGUACAAUUCCUCGCUGAAUGUGGGCCCGCAUUUACAAAUAUAAACCUUGAAUAGCUUCCAAAUAUUCUCGCACCUAAUUUUAAUUUUGCCUACAUUCAUACAAACCUACGAAUUAUGGUAAAAUUGUGCCUUAAUAGCUUGGACAAGGUUGGUUUUUAUUUUAAACAAUACGUAAAUAAAGAGUACCUAUUUAA